UGGGGAAUAUUGGACAAUGGGGGGAACCCUGAUCCAGCCAUGCCGCGUGUGUGAAGAAGGCCUUAUGGUUGUAAAGCACUUUAAGCGAGGAGGAGGGUACUGGUAUUAAUACUACCAGGUACUGGACGUUACUCGCAGAAUAAGCACCGGCUAACUCUGUGCCAGCAGCCGCGGUAAUACAGAGGGUGCGAGCGUUAAUCGGAUUUACUGGGCGUAAAGCGUGCGUAGGCGGCUAAUUGAGUCGGAUGUGAAAUCCCCGAGCUUAACUUGGGAAAUGCAUUCCAUACUGGUGAGCUAGAGUGUGGGAGAGGAUGGUAGAAUUCCAGGUGUAGCGGUGAAAUACGUAGAGAUCAGGAGGAAUACCGAUGGCGAAGGCAGCCAUCUGGACUAACACUGACGCUGAAGUACGAAAGCAUGGGGAGCAAACAGG
Molecule: ribosomal RNA, 430 nt
Filed under: Pseudomonadota bacterium
Lineage: Bacteria; Pseudomonadati; Pseudomonadota
Description: Proteobacteria bacterium partial 16S ribosomal RNA
Rfam family: Bacterial small subunit ribosomal RNA
Source: RNAcentral